RNAcentral lists this ribosomal RNA (828 nucleotides) under Amanita neo-ovoidea. RNAcentral's name for it is "partial large subunit ribosomal RNA". Lineage: Eukaryota; Fungi; Basidiomycota; Agaricomycetes; Agaricales; Amanitaceae. The record is from RNAcentral.
AUUUAAAAUCUGACAGUGUUCACUGUCUGAAUUGUAGCCUAGAGAAGUGUUACCCGUGCUGGACCRUGUAUAAGUCUCCUGGGAUGGAGCGUCACAGAGGGUGAGAAUCCCGUGUUUGACAUGGACUACCAGUGCAUUGUGGUAUGCUCUCAAAGAGUUGAGUUGUUUGGGAUUGCAGCUCUAAAUGGGUGGUAAAUUCCAUCUAAAGCUAAAUAUUGGCGAGAGACCGAUAGCGAACAAGUACCGUGAGGGAAAGAUGAAAAGAACUUUGGAAAGAGAGUUAAACAGUAUGUGAAAUUGUUGAAAGGGAAACGCUUGAAGUCAGUCGCAUUGGUUUGGGAUCAAGUCGGCUCUUUUGCCGACUGUASUUCCUUACCAAUGGGUCAACAUGAGUUYUGACCACUAGAGAAAGGCUUUGGGAAUGUGGCACGUUUUAAGGUGUGUUAUAGCCCYUGGUUGUAUGUAGUGGUUGGGACUGAGGAAAACAGCGUGCCGCAAGGCCGGGUUCGACCACGUUCACGCUUAGGAUGUUGGCAUAUAAUGGCUUUAAGYGACCCGUCUUGAAACACGGACCAAGGAGUCUAACAUGCAUGCAAGUGUUUGGGUGGAAAACUCAAGUGCGCAAUGAAAGUGAAAGUUGAGAUCCUCUGUUAUAAAGGGGGAGCAUCGACGCCCGGACCAGAACUUUUGGGAUGGAUCUGCGGUAGAGCAUGUAUGUUGGGACCCGAAAGAUGGUGAACUAUGCCUGAAUAGGGCGAAGCCAGAGGAAACUCUGGUGGAGGCUCGUAGCGAUUCUGACGUGCAAAUCGAUCGUCGAAUUUGGGUAUA